RNAcentral lists this unclassified non-coding RNA (253 nucleotides) under uncultured Oligoflexales bacterium. RNAcentral's name for it is "contains 16S-23S intergenic spacer region". It matches the Rfam family "Bacterial small subunit ribosomal RNA", at positions 524 to 776 of the family's 1533-position model. Lineage: Bacteria; Pseudomonadati; Bdellovibrionota; Oligoflexia; Oligoflexales. The record is from RNAcentral.
UACGGAGGGUGCUAGCGUUGUUCGGAUUUAUUGGGCGUAAAGCGAGGGUAGGUGGUCUAGUGUGUCUGGGGUGAAAGCCCUGAGCUCAACUCAGGAAUUGCCUCAGAAACUGCUGGACUAGAGUCCUGGAGAGGGUCGUGGAAUUCCCGGUGUAGCGGUGAAAUGCGUAGAGAUCGGGAGGAACACCAGAGGCGAAAGCGGCGACCUGGACAGGCACUGACACUGAACCUCGAAAGCGUGGGUAGCAAACAGG